UACGAAGGGGGCUAGCGUUGCUCGGAAUCACUGGGCGUAAAGCGCACGUAGGCGGCUUUUUAAGUCAGGGGUGAAAUCCUGGAGCUCAACUCCAGAACUGCCUUUGAUACUGAGAAGCUCGAGUCCGGGAGAGGUGAGUGGAACUGCGAGUGUAGAGGUGAAAUUCGUAGAUAUUCGCAAGAACACCAGCGGCGAAGGCGGCUCACUGGCCCGGUACUGACGCUGAGGUGCGAAAGCGUGGGGAGCAAACAGG
Molecule: ribosomal RNA, 253 nt
Filed under: uncultured bacterium
Lineage: Bacteria
Description: partial 16S ribosomal RNA
Rfam family: Bacterial small subunit ribosomal RNA
Source: RNAcentral